CGCGUGCGCUGGUUCGGCCGGGCCUUUCCUUCUGGCUAGCCCUAUGCCCUUCACUGGGUGUACGGGGGAUCCAAGACUUUUACUUUGAAAAAAUUAGGGUGUUCAAAGCGGGCCUACUCUCGAAUACUUUAACAUGGAAUAAUAAAAUAAGACGGCGGCUCUAUUUUGUUGGUUUCUAGACCCCCCGUAAUGAUUAAUAGGGAUACUCGGGGGCAUCAGUAUUCAAUUGUCAGAGGUGAAAUUCUUGUAUUUAUUGAACACUAACUACUGCGAAAGCAUUUGCCAGGGAUGUUUUCAUUAAUCAGUGAACGAAAGUUAGGGGAUCGAACAAUAUCAUAUACCGUCAUACUCUUAACCAUAAACUAUGCCGACUAGGGAUCGGGCGGUGUUUAAUUUAUGACCCGCUCGGCACCUUACGAGAAAUCAAAGUCUUUGGGUUUUGGGGGGAGUAUGGUCGCAGGGCUGAAAAUUAAAGGAAUUGACGGAGGGGCACCCCCCGGAGUGGAGCCUGCGGCUAAUUUUGACUCCACACGGGGAAACUCUCCAGGUCCAGACACAUUAAGGAUUGACAGAUUGAGAGCUCUUUCUAGAAUAUGUGGGGUGGUGGUGCAUGGCCGUUCUAGUUGGUGGAGUGAUUAGUCGGCUUAAUUACGAUAACGAACGAGACCUCAACCUCCUAAAAAGCCACCCGAGCUUUCGCUCCUCCCGCUUCCUUGAGGGACGAUCGG
This 728-nucleotide ribosomal RNA is filed under the name uncultured eukaryote. RNAcentral describes it as "bacterial SSU rRNA". It matches the Rfam family "Eukaryotic small subunit ribosomal RNA", at positions 672 to 1426 of the family's 1831-position model. The record is from RNAcentral.